Molecule: ribosomal RNA, 390 nt
Filed under: Sinorhizobium medicae
Lineage: Bacteria; Pseudomonadati; Pseudomonadota; Alphaproteobacteria; Hyphomicrobiales; Rhizobiaceae
Description: bacterial SSU rRNA
Rfam family: Bacterial small subunit ribosomal RNA
Source: RNAcentral
UGAUCCUGGCUCAGAACGAACGCUGGCGGCAGGCUUAACACAUGCAAGUCGAGCGCCCCGCAAGGGGAGCGGCAGACGGGUGAGUAACGCGUGGGAAUYUACCCUUUUYUACGGAAUAACGCAGGGAAACUUGUGCUAAUACCGUAUAAGCCCUUCGGGGGAAAGAUUUAUCGGGAAAGGAUGAGCCCGCGUUGGAUUAGCUAGUUGGUGGGGUAAAGGCCUACCAAGGCGACGAUCCAUAGCUGGUYUGAGAGGAUGAUCAGCCACAUUGGGACUGAGACACGGCCCAAACUCCUACGGGAGGCAGCAGUGGGGAAUAUUGGACAAUGGGCGCAAGCCUGAUCCAGCCAUGCCGCGUGAGUGAUGAAGGCCCUAGGGUUGUAAAGCUCU